Molecule: ribosomal RNA, 412 nt
Filed under: Planctomycetaceae bacterium
Lineage: Bacteria; Pseudomonadati; Planctomycetota; Planctomycetia; Planctomycetales; Planctomycetaceae
Description: bacterial LSU rRNA
Rfam family: Bacterial large subunit ribosomal RNA
Source: RNAcentral
GGGAGGUUUGGCACCUCGAUGUCGGCUCAUCGCAUCCUGGGGCUGAAGAAGGUCCCAAGGGUUUGGCUGUUCGCCAAUUAAAGCGGUACGUGAGCUGGGUUUAGACCGUCGUGAGACAGGUCGGUCCCUAUCUGGUGUGGGUGUAGGAUGAUUGAGGAGGAUUGCCCCUAGUACGAGAGGAUUGGGGUGGACGAACCUCUGGUGCUCCAGUUAUCACGCUAGUGGUACAGCUGGGUAGCUAAGUUCGGAACGGAUAAGCGCUGAAUGCAUCUAAGCGCGAAGCCUUCUCCAAGACGAGUCAUCCCUAUCAGUCCCCUGGAAGACUACCAGGUUGAUAGGCCGGCGGUGUAAGCACAGCGAUGUGUUCAGCUUACCGGUACUAAUCGGACGAUUGGCUUAGCCACCUUCUCCU